Chelonia mydas (Green sea turtle) is the source of this 8020-nucleotide long non-coding RNA. RefSeq lists it as uncharacterized. The transcript has 3 exons. The record is from RefSeq and is a predicted model, not a curated record. NCBI's taxonomy places the organism in Eukaryota, Metazoa, Chordata, Testudines, Cheloniidae.
UUAGCUAUCAAAUCUUGAUGUGAAAUACACUAAAGGAGGGAAGGCUGCUCAAACUCUGUCCCUCUCUGCUCAGGAUAUGGGGGUCCGGCUCCCUGGGUCAGAGGCCGGAGUCCAGGCUUAGCAGCUGCUGCUUCCCCCAAGGGGGCAGGGGGAGAGAGGUGCUUAAUUAAGGCUUCCUCUGUGCCCGGCCAAGAUGAGGACUUUCUCCGGCUGGUACUGGCCCCCUAGGGCAGCCCUAGGCCCUGUUAAUACUAAAUUCUGAGCCAGAGACUCCAAGUAAUUGAGAGAGACCUCCGGGAAAAUGCUGGCUGUUGUCAGGGCUUGGCUGUGUGUGUGUCCUCUGCGUGCUGCACCAGCUCUGGCCAGGUAGCCGGCACCACAAGCCUGGAUCGAACUGCCCAAGAAGACCACAGAUUUGGGUUGAGUGGCAAAGGCGCUUGGCCAGGUUUAUUGUUAACAAUGCACGGUCCUAAUGCCCGGCAGGCUGUUUGGCGACAAUAACACAGGGACACCCAUUACCAUGGACUUGGCUCAGACAGUGCUGGGACUUUCCACCCCCUCUGGGACCCCUCUCUUCUACACUGUUACAAACAAGUUAUGUGUUACCUCUCUGACGUAGUUAGUUACCACCCUUCACCUUGCACUUGGUGGUUAGAUCAAAAGAUCUCUGUCCAUCAGCCUGUCAUCCUGCCCUGAUCUUUAGGAAAGGUCAGUGUGUCCCUGUAUCAUCUCUGCGGAGUGUGUUUAUACCAUAACUUUGUAUCGGGGUGUUCUGGAACUACCCCUCUGGUAGGUGUUUCCGUGGCUUCUUAGUGCCUGGAACUGCUUGCGUUUGUCCAACGCCAGCCCUGUUCUUACCAAGUGCAUGUACCAGACGGUGAACUUGCAAGCAGGCUUCUGUUUCAUAACAGGGCCUGAGUUUUGCUCAUAGUCCCACUCUUGGUAACUUUGCUUUACAGGAGCAGAGCCUGCGGCCUUACACCAGGCCUUUCUACCAGGCCUCAUAUCUCAGGCUUUCUCUUUCUGUUACACUGGGGACUGGCAAAAAAGUGACUCUGCUCAGGCAGCCCCUCCCACUAGCAAUUCCAAGAGCAAACCCAGCCAUGGGAGAGCAAUGGGACUUUCCCAGCCCGAGGGGCAGGGAGAGGGGACACAGGAAAGAGACUGAAAAGGGAAGUGGGAGAAAUGAGUGGGGAGAGAGAUUUCCAGAUCUCUGAUCUGCCCAGUCACACGUAUUGCAGCAUCCCUGGGCAGAAUCACUUUCCUGUGGGCAAAAUGAGGAUAUGAGAGAGGAAAAGCCAGUUCCUGAUGCUGUAUCCCUCCUGCUGGGGUGUGGCUGCCCUGGGGUCAGUGUCAGAGAGAAUCCCCCCAAGUGAUUCCUUUGGUUCUGCAAUUUUCUAGCAGAGACUUUGUUCCUGGAGAGGCUUAAAAAUGUGUCUGUGAGCUUAGCCUGGCAGGAGGGGCCAGGUCUACACUGUAAUACAGAGAACAAGCAUUUUCCCAGCAUGGCAGAAUCUAGGCUGCCUGUCUGCAGGGAAAGGGCCUGGGGGAAUCGUGAUGUGAAAUGAACUAAAGCCCGUUCCUAAACCUGCACAACUGCCCUUCUCGCCCUGCCAGGCUGCAGAAUGACGCCCACGUUUCGCUCCAGCUCAUCCCAGCCUCCCUUGGGACAGGGAAGAGAAAUGGCUGCAGUGAAGCCAGAUCAGCUAUGGAUUAUUGGGAGUUACUUCUGGGUUCCUGCAGGUGGGAGAGGGACAGCAAAUACACAGGAGGGGCCGGUGACCUUCGAGGAGGUGGGUGUGUAUUUCACCAGGGAAGAGGGGGCUCUGCUGGACCCCGCUCAGAGAGCCCUCUACAGAGACGUCAUGCAGGAGAACUACGAGAAUGUGACCUCGCUGGGUAAGGAUUCCCAUCCCCUCGCUUAUUAGAAGGGGGAAUGAGGAGUUAUGGUAUAUGUCAUGCCCACAAUGCCACCUCUACUCUGCCCUGUCUCAGCAUCACCCCAACAUGCCAGUGACCCACACAGUAGCCCGCUGCCCUCCCCUGCUACCCAGCACCCUGGGAACAGAGCACAGGAGAACUACAGCACAGUGUCAGAUUUCUCCUGUUUGCUCAGGUAAAACUGGGGGUUGGGUCCAGCAUAACGAACAGAAGCUUCCAACCCCUGCCCCUCACUCGAACCCCGAGCCUACUCCACCCAGACCAGCUCCGACUUGCAAAGUGAUCCCACUCCCUUACCCUCACCGUGAGGUUUCCUUCUGAGUCGUUGCCUUCACUUGCCCCUCACUAAGCCCUGGAGACCACUAGCGUGUAUCCCACCAGAGUGCUGGCAAUCCUCAGGGCAGGAACUCGCCCUUGUGCAGCUUUAGCGACCGCAACCUACAACACUGAGCACUGAAAUGGGGCAGGCUCGGUCCCUCAGGGGUCACGUGCACCUCUCCGCAUAUCACAGUCCCAGCUCUGCCAAGCUGCUCCAGCUCGUCCCUCCACCGUCCGAUUACAGCUACACCUGGCCCAGUGCACACAGCCGGAGGGCAUGUGGAUAAAUGCUGGGAUUCCCGUCUGGAGAACACAACACAAACAACGGCAUGUUCUUAGUCCUUCCUUAUAUCUAUUCUAGAUUCAUAGAUUUUUAUUUUUUUUGUUAAGGCCAAAAGGGAUGAUUAGGCUUUGUAGUCUGAUUUCCUGUAUAACUCCAUCCAGUUACUGCUGCACUGAGCUGAAUAUGUUGUGUUUGACUAAAUCACCUUCCGGAAAGGCAGACAGUUUGACACGAAGACUUCAACAGAGGGAGAAUUCUCCAGUUCCUGGGGUCGUCUGUUAACCUUUGCACCACCCUGGCAGAACCAUUCCCAGAGGCUCUUACCAGCUGCAGGGUUUCAGUUGGGAGCAGAGUUAAGGUUGCAUUGCAGGGGGGCAGCACUGGGCAACCUUAGCUCUGCAGUAAAGUAGUUUCUGGGCAUUUAGUUUGCUACAUUUUUUUAGUGGACAUUUUGCCGCUAUAACUGUGUCUUUUGCCAACAUAGCUAUGUUGGUUUAGGGGGAGAGGGGCCCCUAUAGAGCAGAGCUGUCCUGGCAAAACUGUAAAGAGCAGACCAUGUCAGAGCCUGCGUGUGGAUUUUACAGCACUUGAAAAUAUUCUCAACGGGGAAGCAAAACACACUUUACUGGACUUUGUACAAUUUGUCCUCAUCUUUCCUGAAAUAUGGCACCCAGAACUAGACGUAAUACUCCAGUUCAGGCCUAAUCAGUGCAGAGUAGAGCAGAAGAGCUAAUACGUUCCAGAAUUACGUUUGCUUUUUUUGCAACACUGUUCAAUCAUGUUUAGUUCGUGAUCCACUAUGAACCCCAGAUCUUUUUCUGCAGUGCUCCUUCCUAGGCAGUCCUUUCCCAUUUUGUAUGUGUGCAGUUGAUUUUUCCUUCCUAAGUGAAGUACUUUGCAUUUGACCGUAUUGAAUUUCAUCCUAUUUAUUUAAUACCAUUUUUCCAGUUUGUCCAGAUCAUUUUGAAUUUUAAUCCUAUUCUCCAAAGCACUUGCAGCCCCUCCCAGCGUGGUAUUGUCCACAAACUUUAGAAGUGUACUCUCUAUGCCAUUAUCUAAAUCACUGAUGAAGAUACUGUACAGAACUGGACCUUUGGGAUCCCACUCAAUAUGCCCUUCCAGCUUGACUGUGAACCACUAAUAAUUACUCUCUGGGAACAGUUUUCCAACCAGUUUCGCACCCAUCUUACAGUAGCUCCCUCUAGGUUGAAAUUUCCCUAGUUUGUUUAUGAGAAGGUCAUGGGAGACCGUAUCAAAAGUCUUACCAAUGUCAAGAUAUACCACAUUUAUCGCUUACCCCCUAUUCACAAAGCUCGUUACCCUGUCAAAGAAAGCUAUCAGGUUGGUUUGACACGGUUUGUUCUUGACAAAUCCAUGCUGACUGUUACCUAUCACCUUAUUAUCUUCUAGGGGUUUGCGUAUUGCUUGCGUAAUUAUUUCCUCCAUUAUCUUUCUUGCGACAAAUCGUACUGUUAGUUUGUUUCCAUGGUGGAAGCUGCAGGGUGUACCCCUGUACAUCCAAAUGUACCCCCAACAUGCUAUUAUCUAAACUCUCAGGAUCCUGUUUGUUUUGUGUGUAAAUUUUCUAAUUUCACAAUCUCUUCAUUAGCAUUUGGCUCAGCAUACAAACUGUAACACCUCCCCCAUCUGUCUCCUGUCUUAAUCUUAGUCCCUUUGGGGGUUCUGUGUCUGUAGAAUUUCCAGCACAGUGGGAUCUGGUCAGUGACUGGGGAUAUGAGCAUUACAGUAAUAAAAAUAAUAAAUAACUGUAAUUCGGAGGGUCCAGGCAGUGGGAGGGAGGCUGUUGGAGAGCAGGGGAGUGUCCAGGUGGUGGUAAGCUGGUGGGGGGUAGGUUUGGGGUGAAGCGUUCCUGUGAGCUGGGACGUCUGGGGUAGGGGAAAGGAGAUGUAUCAUGGGGUAGGUUCUGUAGGGAGUUGCGAUGCAAUGGAGGGCUGGAAGAAAUGGGAAGGAUCAGGAUGUCAAGGAGUUGGGAAGGGGGGGGUGCGAGUAAAGGGGAGGUGGGGGCUGGGUAGUGUUUGCUCCAGGAAAUGGGGGAACUAGCAAUGGGAGGGAGGGAACAGGAGCUCUUGGGAGUCGGAAGCAAAGAUGACUUGGGGCAGAGGGAAGGUGAGAUGGGAAGUGGCUGGGCCGUGGGAAAUUUGGGGGACACUCUAGUGAGGAAGGCUGCAGGCAAUGGGAGGGGAGGAGAGAACACAAGGAGCGGGUGCUCCUGGGGCCCAAGAAGGUGGAGAGGGGUGAGAGCAGUGGGUGGAAGGGGAGCGGGUGUUGUAAUGAGUGAGAGGACUAGGUGCACCCUGUCCCCUUCCUGGUGUCUCUCAGUGCCCCCCCCCCGGCCCCCCACAGUGUCAGGCUUCCUGCCUUUUCCUCUCCGAGACUGGAAUUCUGCAACUAUCCUGCUCCUAGAAUAGACCAGGGCUACAAUGUCCUAUUUAUCCACUGUGCUUACCCAGCAGGCCUGGCACAAAUAUGCACUUCCUUGGUUAUGUCUGUGACCCUCACAGCAUCCCGGGGCAAGUGGCUCUGUGGUAUCUGAUAACAAGUUUCAGCUGGCCUGACCCAUUCAGUGUACCCCAACUCACUAAUGUCUUCACCUGUAUUGAAAAGGUGUCACGUAAGAUAUCAACAGAAAGCUACGGACAUAAUGUUCAUUAAUAUUAUUGCAUGGUGUAUGUAUGGAGGAGAAAUGCAAGAUUACAGAUAGCUGGGAAAUGGUGUUCUUAAAGCAUGUCUGUCAGCCAGGGUUGAAGUUCCCCCACUCUAGACAAAGGCAGGUGGUUCUGCCACCUUGAAGGCACUUCCAGGGUACAUUAAGAGACAAUGGGAAUGCAAUUUACAUAACCAAUAAACAAACCCAUCACACUAACAAGGGGCAGAGAGAACCACUGAGCAUCAUGGCAGGGGAGGAUAUCGCAGGAACAGACCAAAUUCUAUUUUAGCAAACACCAGCAGGGGAAGAAAUCGCCAUGGAACUUCAUUUAAGAAGACAAAGGAACCAAGCCCUUUGGACUUUGGGGGAAAUAUUGAGCAAAGGGGUGCUCUGCCCUCUUGCUGGAAAAUAGUGUGGUCAGAAUCUUACCUUGGACCAGGACUAUAGUUUUAUUAGGUCAUUGUUCACUUCCACUUCCUGGUAACCGUUUCUAACUCUGUUGUUUAUACCUGAACUCACUUUAAAUGCUUGUGUUAGAUUAAACAUUUAGUAAAUGAAUCCGGUGCCGUCUUUGAAUACAAGUGAUGGCUAUCUCCAAUUAAAGUGAUAAGCUGGGCCAUUUGUCUCUUCUGAGGAACAACCAAUCCUUAUUCCUCUGAACAGUCCUGGAGAAAGUAGCCAUUGCAGAGCACAUGGUUUUGGGAAAAUUCAGGAGUGGGGAUGUUGCGAUCUCUUGCCAGUUGUGUCCAAGGCCGUGGAAGCCAGAAUGCGUCAGGGGUGCCGGAAGCAGGCUGCUGGAGUCAGAGCAGCUAGUCCAGGGUCACUUAUCACACAGACACUCAGUGUGUCCUUGAAUGCUGGCUGGGAGCAUCCAGACAAGGGAGCUCCAGCAACAGAACAUUGAAACUCACCCGGGAUUACAGAUGACACAACUCCGCACUGGUCUGGAUUGCACCCCAGAGUGUGAAAAUGGCCUAGGCACCUUGGAUCUUGGAGUCCAUCAUUCCUGGAGUCACCUGGCCUGAUUCUUAUUUUUCACAUUCUGUUUUUCCAGAAGGAAAUGGUAAACCCCAGAAACUGCUAAAGUAGAAAGCAAUGUGUAUCUGUGUGUGUACGUGCGCAUGAGGGGAUGAGAAUAACUCCUACACAGUACCAAAAGGCAACACGCCCUCAGAGCCAAACGGGGCGGGAGGGAGAAGUGAUGCCUGUAACAGAAGAGCCUAUCCCAGUUGUCAGCUGACAGCGUUCUGCUGCUGAGCAGAGGGCACGCCCCACUCUAGAGAGCAUAAGGAAGUGUGUGCUGGAGGGGGCCCCUGGAAGGGAAAAGGGAGAGACGCUUUAAGAAGAUAAGAAGGGAGACUCCUGUGGGGAAGAAGAAAAGCCCUGGGCAGCCUUAUAAGCAGUUGAUUGUACCCGUCCAGCAGCAGGGGGAGGGAGGCGUGUAAUGUUGUUAGCACAUAACUGUCCUUUUGCUAGUCACUCAGGGGGGAAUGCCCAGGAUAGAGGGGGUAACUCAGCCUCUGUCCACCCCAGUAGGCAACCUAUAACUCAGGCUGAGAGAGUGAACCGUGUGGCUGACCUUCGGAGGAGAGCAGUUACCCAGCCAGCUCCUUGGGGCACACAGGGUGAUGACAGACAGGCUCCCACUCCAGCCCCUGGUGUACAUGUCCUGUUGUACUGAAUUCAGGCACCUGUGAUCCCCCAUGAGAAUGGGAAGGUUUAGAAAGUAAUCUGACCUUGGGGGAGGUAAAUGAUAUCCCCAUUCUUGGGAAUGUUUUUUUUUCUAUGUGGCUAUGGCUGUCAAUAGGGCACGUUAGCUAAAGGCACAAGAAUCUUAGAUCCUCCUGUUAACACGAGUUCUGCCAUUCGACCAGGUAACCUGUCAGUCUCUAGGUCCACCCUUUGUUUAACCAGAGAAAUCUGUGCACCAUCCUAUUUCCAUCCCAUGGAUGCCUGCCCGUUGAUUUUGACAACCUUAAUAUGCUCCAUAUCUGUCUCUGCAGAGCCAGUUCUCUCAAAAUGUGUCAGGUAGACUCCAGACAGCUGUGGGGCUUUUGGGCUAAUGCUAGCUGCAUUAACAUGGAUUGGUUGGGGCUUGGUUUCUUUCAGCAGGGUACUGAUAGACUGAUAACACCUUCUUGGGCUCUCUUCCUUCACAGGCAGUCUGUGAUGGAGAUUACCAGGAGAGGAAUGAUUUGGGGUGGGGGGAAUGCCUCGGCUCCCAAAUAUCAUUUUUCCUAGGGGCAAAAUGAGAUCCCCCCCCCCUUAUAUUUCCUCUCCUUCUCAGCUUCUGUGGCUCUUGCUUAAAAUAACAAGCUGUGCGUAGAUCUUGCUCACCGCGCCACGGUGACGUUACCCAGGGUACAAUCUGGACUGUUGAACAGCCGUGUCCCCUCAGUUCCCCAAUGUGGGGUGCCUUUUGCACUCCUGGGUAGUUAACCCACAGUCUCCAGCCUGUAACUCGCUCCUAGCUGCAGAGUAUUGAGUGCUACUAGUCCGGGGGGGUCUCACGACAUAGGUUUUGGUGGCCUUGGAGUGCGGCCACGAACUCUUGCUGGCUGCUGCGCUGACCAUUUUCCCUAAAAUACUUAAUUAGCUUUAGGAAAAACAAAAAUAGGCACCUAUGCAUGUCCAAAGCAUUGUAAUUUAUGUAGGGGGUUUUUGCAGACUCAAUAAUAAAAUAAUGUACAGUUGUCUCGAUUCUUUUUUGGACCUUAACAGCAGAGAGGUGCUUAACAAAUAAGGUGCUUUGCAUGUUCUUGUCUUUUGUUCUCGUUUCUUUUGCAUUUGUGGUGGUGGUUUUUUUUCUU